This 272-nucleotide unclassified non-coding RNA is filed under the name plant metagenome. RNAcentral's name for it is "partial contains small subunit ribosomal RNA, internal transcribed spacer 1, and 5.8S ribosomal RNA". The record is from RNAcentral.
UUUCCGUAGGUGAACCUGCGGAAGAAUCAUUAAUGAGUUGUCAUGGGGUUCGAUGCUGGCAGCCAGUUUUUGGAUGCAUGUGCUUGCCCUAACAAUCAUCUUCUUCCAAACACCUGUGCACAUUUUUGAGGGAGUCUUGAGUUGGUUGCCGCUCUUGGGUGAUUUUCUCACAUUCCCUUAAAUCAUUAUACGCUAUUAACAAUGUUGAACGUGCUCUGUGCCGCAAGGCCAUUAAUAUAAUACAACUUUUAACAACGGAUCUCUUGGCUCUC